RNAcentral lists this unclassified non-coding RNA (1757 nucleotides) under Leishmania donovani. RNAcentral describes it as "gene:unknown". The record is from RNAcentral. Lineage: Eukaryota; Euglenozoa; Kinetoplastea; Trypanosomatida; Trypanosomatidae.
CACCUUCCUCAGCGAGCGACUCCAGCAUCCACUCUUCGGCGAUGACGUUCCUCGUCCAGACGGGGCCGCGACCGGAGGCGAGUUCGUCUGGUUGGACCCGAACGACAGCCCCCACGCACGGGCUGGCGCAGCACAGCCGGCAUACCCUCUCUCUCAUGUUUGCAUAGAUCACCCGAAGACUGCACAGGUGGCAGGCCGUACCCCAUCCUCCCUGGGUCCAUCGGGGGGGGAUCUAGGGAGAGGCUGCCUUCUCAUAUCGAAAUCCUUCACCUUAAGGGGGGAGGGGGGAUCGCCCCCAUCUCCUCCGCCAAGCCCCGGGGGCGUUGACCCCGAGCGUUACAUGGGUACGCUCAGCGACGGGAUUCGCCGCAAGCAGAACAAGCUCCAUCGCGGCUCGCCUCACACCGGAGGACGACCUACGGACGCUCUUCCAGCCAUCCGCAAGAUGCCCUCUGAGCGCCUCAGCAGGAACGGGCUAUCCCAGGCAGACGGCACUGCUCUUCACCACGUGGCGCAGCGGCUUGUGCCGAGAAUCGACCGCAUCGCCACGCGUCAACACGGCCAGCAAGCCGCAUGCCCAUCACAGAACCGCCCUUUGCCGGAAUCCUUCGAUGCUGCGCGGAGCGGGGCUGUGGGGCCCGUGGCCCCGACGUUGCCGCGGUCUGGUGGCGCUGUGGGUGGGCGGCAGCAACAAGGGGCAACGCGAGGUUGCUGCACACGGCACCUUCUCCUCAAGGGCGGCGAGACCUUUGCGAGCCGGAAGAUGAUGGCUUACCAGGUGAUGAAGGUGAAGCGUUUUCCAGCUAGGAGGAUGCACCAUGCAGGCUGCCUCCAGCAACCUAUCGACCGAAUACAACACCGCGUUCGCCCGGGACAUCAGCAGCCCGAACAACGAGGACAGCGUGCACGCCUUGAGGGCGGCGUUCGACUUCUUCGUGACGCAAGCGCGGCACGGACGGCGUUUCGUUCUCGGCGCCCCUCGGACCAAAGACGAGGCCCUUAGUGGACGGAAUAGCCGAAGCCUUCUGCGCUGAGCCGGAGGCCGCAGCGUGGGCACGCGCUAGCCAGCACCGGUCGACCGAACGCGACGCCGUCAUCACGAAGCACAGAGGCCGUCACCUAAAACAACAGCAACACAGGGGCGGAGGAGGAGGCCCAGGCGCGAGCACACUCAAGGCGGCAGAAACGGGAGAAAAAUGUGCCGCCAACGCCCUCGUGCGACUCUUGCCUCAAAGGCCCCUUCCGCACACACACACACACACAUAAAUAUGCGCGCCGUUGGAUCCGUCUGCCUCGCCAACUGAGGGGGAGGGGGGCCUCAUCGAAAACGGACGCUCCUCAACACGGCAUGACGGGCCGAAGGGGCUCUCCUCCCGCUGCGUCCAGCACGGCCGGUGACACAGUCCGGCUUGCUACCCUUUUUCCCGCUACGUCGCACCUUUGGUGAAUCAUCGCCGGCUCCUCGCUGGGAAGACGGCCAGCAGCUGGGACGAAGUCUGCCGUCUGACCCCGCAGAGCUUCCUCAGCGUCUCCAGCGCCACAGUAGCGCCUAACCAGGGGGCGGAGGCGAAGUCAAGCUGGGGUGCGGCCCUUCCGUCCAGUCCUCUUCGGCGGCGUGCGGCACGGCCGCGCACGCCUCUCCGUAUUUUGGAUUGCCGGUCCAUGCGUGUGUGCCGCUGGUGGCGCGGUCCCUUACUCGCUCCUCUACACCUUGACCCUAUUCUCUCUCGCUCUCUCUCGCGCGCGCGCUGGCGAAG